UCUGGAAACUNUCUGACUUAAGUGCAGAAGGGGAGAGUGGAAUUCCAUGUGUAGCGGUGAAAUGCGUAGAUAUAUGGAGGAACACCAGUGGCGAAAGCGGCUCUCUGGUCUGUCACUGACGCUGAGGCUCGAAAGCGUGGGUAGCGAACAGGAUUAGAUACCCUGGUAGUCCACGCCGUAAACGAUGAGUGCUAGGUGUUAGGCCCUUUCCGGGGCUUAGUGCCGGAGCUAACGCAAUAAGCACUCCGCCUGGGGAGUACGACCGCAAGGUUGAAACUCAAAGGAAUUGACGGGGGCCCGCACAAGCGGUGGAGCAUGUGGUUUAAUUCGAAGCAACGCGAAGAACCUUACCAGGUCUUGACAUCCCGAUGCUAUUCUUAGAGAUAGGAAGUUACUUCGGUACAUCGGAGACAGGUGGUGCAUGGUUGUCGUCAGCUCGUGUCGUGAGAUGUUGGGUUAAGUCCCGCAACGAGCGCAACCCUUAUUGUUAGUUGCCAUCAUUAAGUUGGGCACUCUAGCGAGACUGCCGGUAAUAAACCGGAGGAAGGUGGGGAUGACGUCAAAUCAUCAUGCCCCUUAUGACCUGGGCUACACACGUGCUACAAUGGUCGGUACAACGAGUUGCGAGCCGGUGACGGCAAGCUAAUCUCUGAAAGCCGAUCUCAGUUCGGAUUGGAGGCUGCAACUCGCCUCCAUGAAGUCGGAAUCGCUAGUAAUCGCGGAUCAGCACGCCGCGGUGAAUACGUUCCCGGGCCUUGUACACACCGCCCGUCACACCACGAGAGUUUGUAACACCCGAAGUCGGUGAGGUAACCUUUUAGGGGCC
RNAcentral lists this ribosomal RNA (826 nucleotides) under uncultured bacterium. Its description in RNAcentral is "bacterial SSU rRNA". It matches the Rfam family "Bacterial small subunit ribosomal RNA", at positions 625 to 1450 of the family's 1533-position model. The record is from RNAcentral.